GACGAACGCUGGCGGCGUGCCUAAUACAUGCAAGUAGAACGCACAGUUUAUACCGUAGCUUGCUACACCAUAGACUGUGAGUUGCGAACGGGUGAGUAACGCGUAGGUAACCUGCCUGGUAGCGGGGGAUAACUACUGGAAACGAUAGCUAAUACCGCAUAAUAUUAAUUAUUGCAUGAUAAUUAAUUGAAAGGUGCAAUUGCACCACUACUAGAUGGACCUGCGUUGUAUUAGCUAGUAGGUGAGGUAACGGCUCACCUAGGCGACGAUACAUAGCCGACCUGAGAGGGUGAGCGGCCACACUGGGACUGAGACACGGCCCAGACUCCUACGGGAGGCAGCAGUAGGGAAUCUUCGGCAAUGGACGAAAGUCUGACCGAGCAACGCCGCGUGAGUGAAGAAGGUUGUCGGAUCGUAAAGCUCUGUUGUAAGAGAAGAACGGGUGUGAGAGUGGAAAGUUCACACUGUGACGGUAUCUUACCAGAAAGGGACGGCUAACUACGUG
This 505-nucleotide ribosomal RNA is filed under the name uncultured bacterium. Its description in RNAcentral is "partial 16S ribosomal RNA". It matches the Rfam family "Bacterial small subunit ribosomal RNA", at positions 28 to 507 of the family's 1533-position model. The record is from RNAcentral.